GUCCCUAUCGUCUAGAGGCCUAGGACAUCGCCCUUUCACGGCGGUAACCGGGGUUCGAAUCCCCGUAGGGACG
Molecule: non-coding RNA, 73 nt
Organism: Acinetobacter sp. Ver3
Lineage: Bacteria; Pseudomonadati; Pseudomonadota; Gammaproteobacteria; Moraxellales; Moraxellaceae
Source: Rfam